This 229-nucleotide ribosomal RNA is filed under the name uncultured bacterium. RNAcentral's name for it is "partial 16S ribosomal RNA". It matches the Rfam family "Bacterial small subunit ribosomal RNA", at positions 568 to 796 of the family's 1533-position model. The record is from RNAcentral.
CGCGUAGGCGGUCUCUUAAGUCAGAUGUGAAAGCCCGGGGCUUAACCUCGGAAGUGCAUUUGAAACUAAGGGACUUGAGUAUGGGAGAGGGAAGUGGAAUUCCUGGUGUAGCGGUGAAAUGCGUAGAUAUCAGGAGGAACACCGGUGGCGAAGGCGACUUCCUGGACCAAUACUGACGCUGAGGCGCGAAGGCGUGGGGAGCAAACAGGAUUAGAUACCCGAGUAGUCC